RNAcentral lists this ribosomal RNA (466 nucleotides) under uncultured bacterium. RNAcentral's name for it is "partial 16S ribosomal RNA". It matches the Rfam family "Bacterial small subunit ribosomal RNA", at positions 339 to 795 of the family's 1533-position model. The record is from RNAcentral.
CUACGGGGGGCUGCAGUGGGGAAUAUUGGACAAUGGGGGAAACCCUGAUCCAGCAAUGCCGCGUGUGUGAAGAAGGCCUGCGGGUUGUAAAGCACUUUCGGUUGGGAGGACUGCUUCUAGCACUAAUAUUGUUGGAAGUUGACGUUACCUUCAGAAGAAGCACCGGCUAACUCCGUGCCAGCAGCCGCGGUAAUACGGAGGGUGGCAAGCGUUAAUCGGAAUUACUGGGCGUAAAGCGCGCGUAGGCGGCUAGAUCAGUCGGGUAUGAAAGCCCCAAACUUAACCUGGGAACUGCAUCCGAUACUGUCUAGCUUGAGUACAGGAGAGGAAAGUGGAAUUCCACAUGUAGCGGUGAAAUGCGUAGAUAUGUGGAGGAACACCAAUGGCGAAGGCAGCUCUCUAACCUGAUACUGACGCUGAGGUGCGAAAGCGUGAAAAGCAAACAGGAUUAGAUACCCUAGUAGUC